CAACCAAAGCAAUGUAUAACAAACCAAUUCUAUUAAAUUCACUUUUAAAUUCAGUUGUGAUCUAGUGUAUACAGGUCCUUUUUUUUUUUCUUUUGCUUUCUGAAUUUAUGAAAUAGCUUCUGUCUUUUUUUUUUCACAAAAAAUGAAUGCAAAUAGAAUUAUUGAGAAUUAAAAAUAAUUGGGGGAUUUAUUUUUUGUGAGGCAGGUAAGAAAUUAAUUUCUAACAUAUGCUUUUCUUGACAGUGUCACUUUAAUUUUCUCUUAAUAGGUUGGUGGAAUGGCUGUUUCCAUGACAGCACAGCAAAUAUACAGUAGGGGCACUGAUAAACAGUGAUGAAUAACAGAUCAUUAGACUUCAGGGUGAAUUCUUCACUAUUCUGUUGCUGCUUUUUACAUUUGUCUGAUAGAGACAACACAUUUCACCACUGUCCAUGACACCAAGAUAAAAGUUGUGCAACUUCCAAGACCCUGUGUGCUAAAAGACAACAGUUGCUGCCUUUGAAGUAGGCUGCACUUCAAAACCCGAGCAUACGGUGACUUCUCCUUCUGCAGAGGCUCCCUGGCAUCACAGGGGCAAGUUUGUGAAUGAAGCCUUUCAGAACUGGCUGAGAACAUGGUGCAGCACAAAAGGCGCGAUGGGUCAUGGUUUAAAGUUGCUGAAUUUAUUCCAGAAACUCAAGUAUAAUAUCCUGGCAAACUGAAACCCAGAUUUUUUGGGCACCAGACCUCAUUUCCUCCGCUGUGCAGAAUGUCUUUCUUGCUUGUGAAGAUCUGGUCAAAGUCACAGGGUUCAAAAUGCUUUUUGAGGAAUGGCUGGGUCUGGAGGCCCCAAGUGAGACUGGACCCUUGAUGUACUACCUGAUCCAUGAUCCCAACUGACUCGUGUGGCCUGACAGGUGCACCUGAGGACAGACAUUGAGCCGGUGUCCUCAGGAGGGAGCAUGGAAGAGGACCUCCGGAUUGGAACUCCAGUGUGCCAAGUGCUCAGCAAAGACCUCAGGUUGAAAGCUUCAGAGGAGCUGUGAGCUGACGGAAAAAAAGGAAAAGUUUAUACUGUGUGUGGGGGGGAAAGGAAACUCACUUGAUAAAUACAAACUCAAGACAUAUUUAGAAGCUGGAUAUGCAAGCUGAACAUUCCCUGGGGCUAAUUGCUGUAAUGGCAUGUUAAAUAAAUACUUUCUAAACUUG
Molecule: long non-coding RNA, 1188 nt
Organism: Taeniopygia guttata (zebra finch)
Lineage: Eukaryota; Metazoa; Chordata; Aves; Passeriformes; Estrildidae
Source: RefSeq, a predicted model, not a curated record